GGGACCGUAGGAUCACCUGGUCAUCGCCGCGACGGGAGACAGGAAGCCGGUGCGAUUCCGGCACGGUCCCGCCA
Molecule: transfer RNA, 74 nt
Filed under: Streptomyces coelicoflavus
Lineage: Bacteria; Bacillati; Actinomycetota; Actinomycetes; Kitasatosporales; Streptomycetaceae
Also listed under: 3 other names
Description: tRNA-OTHER
Source: RNAcentral